AUUCUACCCAUGUGGGGAAGGAUGAGAAGCUUCGACUAAGGUUCGAUUCGAGCGAAAGCGAGAAAGCGUUGCCGCAGGCAACGACCCGAAGGGCGAAGCGCGCAGCGCUGAGUCAUCCUUCCCCCACCACCA
This 132-nucleotide small RNA is filed under the name Salmonella enterica subsp. enterica serovar Derby. RNAcentral describes it as "RtT sRNA". It matches the Rfam family "RtT RNA". From Rfam's summary of the family: This family represents a bacterial cis-regulatory element known as RtT RNA. The exact function of RtT is unknown although it is thought that it may be involved in changing the cellular response in relation to amino acid starvation. The record is from RNAcentral. RNAcentral also lists the same sequence under 15 other names. Lineage: Bacteria; Pseudomonadati; Pseudomonadota; Gammaproteobacteria; Enterobacterales; Enterobacteriaceae.